AUGAGCAACAUGUCUGAAGCAGUCCGUGAAGUUGCUAUUGCUAUCAAGUCCACCGGAGAGGCACAUCCUGAACUUUAUGAUGUUGUCAUGGAGCUCCCUAGUUUUACCGAGGAUGAUACGUUGAUUGUCUUGGACUAUCUCAAUGAGAAUUCCAACAGGGCUAGGAGCCACUCAUUCGUGCAGAUGUCAGAGACUCGUCGCACUCGUUGGGUCAUGCACCACCUCUCCGAGGUCAACGGUGGAGUGCCCGUGCCCAAGGAAGGACUGCCCAAGGAUGGAAUGCCUAUGACCAGCGAUGAAGUGCCCAAGGGUGGAGUGUGA
RNAcentral lists this ribosomal RNA (321 nucleotides) under Triticum aestivum (bread wheat). RNAcentral's name for it is "partial small subunit ribosomal RNA". The record is from RNAcentral. Lineage: Eukaryota; Viridiplantae; Streptophyta; Magnoliopsida; Poales; Poaceae.